CUAAAUGCGGAAGAGAUAAGUGCUGAAAGCAUCUAAGCACGAAACUUGCCAAGAGAUGAGUCAUCCCUGACUUUAAGUCAGUAAGGGUUGUUGUAGACUACGACGUAGAUAGGUUGGGUGUGUAAGUGUAGUGAUACAUUGAGCUAACCAAUACUAAUUGCCCGAGAGGCUUAACCAU
RNAcentral lists this ribosomal RNA (178 nucleotides) under Pasteurella multocida subsp. gallicida str. Anand1_poultry. RNAcentral's name for it is "partial 23S ribosomal RNA". It matches the Rfam family "Bacterial large subunit ribosomal RNA", at positions 2749 to 2925 of the family's 2925-position model. Lineage: Bacteria; Pseudomonadati; Pseudomonadota; Gammaproteobacteria; Pasteurellales; Pasteurellaceae. The record is from RNAcentral.